CUGUAGUGUCCUCUCUACAGCGUUCUGUCUCCUGUAGUGUCCUCUCUACAGCGUUCUGUCUCCUGUAGUGUCCUCUCUACAGCGUUCUGUCUCCUGUAGUGUCCUCUCUACAGCGUUCUGCCUCCUGUAGUGUCCUCUCUACAGCGUUCUGCCUCCUGUAGUGUCCUCUCUACAGCGUUCAGUUCUGUCUCCUGUAGUGUCCUCUCCACAGCGUUCUGUCUCCUGUAGUGUCCUCUCUACAGCGUUCUGUCUCCUGUAGUGUCCUCUCUACAGCGUUCUGUCUCCUGUAGUGUCCUCUCUACAGCGUUCUGUCUCCUGUAGUGUCCUCUCUACAGCGUUCAGUCUCCUGUAGUGUCCUCUCUACAGCGUUCUGUCUCCUGUAGUGUCCUCUCUACAGCGUUCUGUCUCCUGUAGUGUCCUCUCUACAGCGUUCUGUCUCCUGUAGUGUCCUCUCUACAGCGUUCUGUCUCCUGUAGUGUCCUCUCUACAGCGUUCAGUUCUGUCUCCUGUAGUGUCCUCUCUACAGCGUUCUGUCCCCUGUAGUGUCCUCUCUACAGCGUUCUGUCUCCUGUAGUGUCCUCUCUACAGCGUUCUGUCCCCUGUAGUGUCCUCUCUACAGCGUUCUGUCUCCUGUAGUGUCCUCUCUACAGCGUUCUGUCUCCUGUAGUGUCCUCUCUACAGCGUUCUGUCUCCUGUAGUGUCCUCUCUACAGCGUUCUGUCUCCUGUAGUGUCCUCUCUACAGCGUUCAGUUCUGUCUCCUGUAGUGUCCUCUCUACAGCGUUCUGUCUCCUCUAGUGUCCUCUCUACAGCGUUCUGUCUCCUGUAGUGUCCUCUCUACAGCGUUCUGUCUCCUGUAGUGUCCUCUCUACAGCGUUCAGUCUCCUGUAGUGUCCUCUCUACAGCGUUCUGUCUCCUGUAGUGUCCUCUCUACAGCGUUCUGUCCCCUGUAGUGUCCUCUCUACAGCGUUCUGUCUCCUGUAGUGUCCUCUCUACAGCGUUCUGCCUCCUGUAGUGUCCUCUCUACAGCAUUCUGUCUCCUGUAGUGUCCUCUAUACAGCGUUCUGUCUCCUGUAGUGUCCUCUCUACAGCGUUCUGUCUCCUGUAGUGUCCUCUCUACAGCGUUCUGUCUCCGUAGUGUCCUCUCUACAGCGUUCUGUCUCCUGUAGUGUCCUCUCUACAGCGUUCUGUCUCCUGUAGUGUCCUCUCUACAGCGUUCUGUCUCCUGUAGUGUCCUCUCUACAGCGUUCUGUCUCCUGUAGUGUCCUCUCUACAGCGUUCUGUCUCCGGUAGUGUCCUCUCUACAGCUAUAUCUCUCUGGACAGACUGAGCUCUGUAUAUCUCUCUGGACAGACUGAGCUGUAUAUCUCUCUCUGGACAGACUGAGCUGUAUAUCUCUCUGGACAGACUGAGCUGUAUAUCUCUCUCUGGACAGACUGAGCUGUAUAUCUCUCUGGACAGACUGAGCUGUAUAUCUCUCUCUGGACAGACUGAGCUGUAUAUCUCUCUGGACAGACUGAGCUGUAUAUCUCUCUCUAGACAGACUGAGCUGUAUAUCUCUCUGGACAGACUGAGCUGUAUAUCUCUCUAGACAGACUGAGCUGUAUAUCUCUCUAGACAGACUGAGCUGUAUAUCUCUCUCUGGACAGACUGAGCUGUAUAUCUCUCUGGACAGACUGAGCUGUAUAUCCCUCUCU
RNAcentral lists this long non-coding RNA (1695 nucleotides) under Salmo salar (Atlantic salmon). Its description in RNAcentral is "lncRNA (ENSSSAG00000096041.1)". The record is from RNAcentral. Lineage: Eukaryota; Metazoa; Chordata; Actinopteri; Salmoniformes; Salmonidae.